Molecule: unclassified non-coding RNA, 392 nt
Filed under: soil metagenome
Description: partial contains 5.8S ribosomal RNA, internal transcribed spacer 2, and large subunit ribosomal RNA
Rfam family: 5.8S ribosomal RNA (bases 1-122)
Source: RNAcentral
GAUGAAGAACGUAGCGAAAUGCGAUAAGUAGUGUGAAUUGCAGAAUUCCGUGAACCAUCGAGUCUUUGAACGCAAGUUGCGCCGGAAGCCAGUAGGCCGAGGGCACGCCUGCCUGGGCGUCACACGUCGUUGCCCCCCCCAUCUACUCCUUCGGGAUUGCGGGGGGCGGAUGAUGGCCUCCCGUGUGCCUCGCCGCGCGGUUGGCAUAAAUACCAAGUCCUCGGCGACGCACGCCACGACAAUCGGUGGUUGCGAAACCUCGGUUGCCCGUCGUGUGCGGUCGUCGAGCAUCGAGGGCUCGAAAAAAUUGCCGGGUUCCGGCUCGGCUUUCAACGCGACCCCAGGUCAGGCGGGGUUACCCGCUGAAUUUAAGCAUAUCAAUAAGCGGAGGA